UACAGAGGUCUCAAGCGUUGUUCGGAUUCAUUGGGCGUAAAGGGUGCGUAGGUGGCGCUGUAAGUCGGGUGUGAAAUUUCGGAGCUUAACUCCGAAACUGCAUUCGAUAACUGCGGUGCUUGAGGACUGGAGAGGAGACUGGAAUUCGAUGGUGUAGCAGUGAAAAUGCGUAGAUAUCGAUAAGGAAGACCAGUGGCGAAGGCGGGUCUCUGGACAGUUCCUGACACUGAGACACGAAGGCCAGGGG
Molecule: ribosomal RNA, 247 nt
Filed under: uncultured bacterium
Lineage: Bacteria
Description: partial 16S ribosomal RNA
Rfam family: Bacterial small subunit ribosomal RNA
Source: RNAcentral